Molecule: ribosomal RNA, 468 nt
Filed under: uncultured bacterium
Lineage: Bacteria
Description: partial 16S ribosomal RNA
Rfam family: Bacterial small subunit ribosomal RNA
Source: RNAcentral
GACGAACGCUGGCGGCGUGCUUAACACAUGCAAGUCGAACGGAAAGGCCCUGCUUUUGUGGGGUGCUCGAGUGGCGAACGGGGGAGUAACACGUGAGUAACCUGCCCUUGACUUUGGGGUAGGUUCAGGAAACUGGGGCUAAUACCGUAUAGGAUCUCCUGCUGCAUUGAGGGGGUUGGAACGUUUCGGCGGUUGGGGAUGGACUGGCGGCUGAUCGGCUUGUUGGUGGGGUAGUUGCUUACCAAGGCUUUGGCGGGUAGCCGGCAUGAGAGGGUGACCGGGCACAUUGGGACUGAGAUACGGACCAGAGUCCUACGGGAGGCAGCAGUGGGGAAUAUUGCACAAUGGGCGGAAGCCUGAUGCAGCAACGCCGCGUGCGGGAUGACGGCCUUCGGGUUGUAAACCGCUUUCGCCUGUGACGAAGCGUGAGUGACGGUAAUGGGUAAAGAAGCACCGGCUAACUACGUG